RNAcentral lists this microRNA precursor (208 nucleotides) under Oryza brachyantha (malo sina). RNAcentral describes it as "MIR812 microRNA precursor family". It matches the Rfam family "MIR812 microRNA precursor family". The record is from Rfam by way of RNAcentral. Lineage: Eukaryota; Viridiplantae; Streptophyta; Magnoliopsida; Poales; Poaceae.
AAUAAGAUCAGUUUUAUGUUUUUGAUACAAUAUUUUGACUCUUUGUCUUAUUUGAAAUAUUUUUGCGAUUAAUAUUUUUAUUCUUACCAGAUGAUAAAACAUAAAUAGUACUUUAUGCAUAACUAAUUAUUUUAAGUUUUUGUACAAAUUUUUUUAAAUAAGACCAACGGUAAAAUAUUGGACAUGGAAAAACGAAAAUAGAGUUAUU